GGAUGAACGCUGGCGGCGUGCUUAACACAUGCAAGUCGAACGAUUAACCCGCCCUCGGGCGGUUAUAGAGUGGCGAACGGGUGAGUAACACGUGACCAACCUGCCCCUUGCUCCGGGACAACCCAGGGAAACCUCGGCUAAUACCGGAUACUCCGCGCAGCCCGCAUGGGAGGCGCGGGAAAGCCCAGACGGCAAGGGAUGGGGUCGCGGCCCAUUAGGUAGACGGCGGGGUAACGGCCCACCGUGCCCGCGAUGGGUAGCCGGGUUGAGAGACCGAUCGGCCACAUUGGGACUGAGAUACGGCCCAGACUCCUACGGGAGGCAGCAGUGGGGAAUUUUGCGCAAUGGGGGAAACCCUGACGCAGCAACGCCGCGUGCGGGACGAAGGCCUUCGGGUUGUAAACCGCUUUCAGCAGGGAAUAUAGUGAAGGUACCUGCAGAAGAAGCUCCGGCUAACUACGUGCCAGCAGCCGCGGUAAUACGUAGGGAGCGAGCGUUAUCCGGAUUCAUUGGGCGUAAAGCGCGCGUAGGCGGCCCGUCAAGCGGGGUUUCAAAUCCAGGGGCUCAACCUCUGGCCGGACCCCGAACUGGCGGGCUCGAGUGCGGUAGAGGAAGGUGGAAUUCCCAGUGUAGCGGUGAAAUGCGCAGAUAUUGGGAAGAACACCGAUGGCGAAGGCAGCCUUCUGGGCCGCCACUGACGCUGAGGCGCGAAAGCUAGGGGAGCGAACAGGAUUAGAUACCCUGGUAGUCCUAGCCGUAAACGAUGGGCACUAGGUGUGGGGGAGCAUCUCCUCCGUGCCGCAGCCAACGCAUUAAGUGCCCCGCCUGGGGAGUACGGCCGCAAGGCUAAAACUCAAAGGAAU
This 863-nucleotide ribosomal RNA is filed under the name human gut metagenome. RNAcentral describes it as "bacterial SSU rRNA". It matches the Rfam family "Bacterial small subunit ribosomal RNA", at positions 27 to 910 of the family's 1533-position model. The record is from RNAcentral.